UAAGAUCCCUGAAAGAUGAUCAGGUAGAUAGGUUUGGAGUGGAAGUGUAGCGAUACAUGGAGCGGACAAAUACUAAUCGAUCGAGGACUUAACCAAAA
Molecule: ribosomal RNA, 98 nt
Filed under: Listeria monocytogenes
Lineage: Bacteria; Bacillati; Bacillota; Bacilli; Caryophanales; Listeriaceae
Description: partial 23S ribosomal RNA
Rfam family: Bacterial large subunit ribosomal RNA
Source: RNAcentral